GACGAACGCUGGCGGCGUGGAUUAGGCAUGCAAGUCGAACGGUAUCAUCCUUUCGGGGGUGAGAGAGUGGCGAACUGGUGAGUAACACGUAGGUUAUCUACCCUCAAGACGGGGACAACCCAGGGAAACUUGGGCUAAUACCGGACGUGAGCAACUUUUAGUUGUUUGAAAGGUGGCGUAAGCUGUCGCUUGGGGAUGAGCCUGCGUCCUAUUAGUUAGUUGGUGAGGUAACGGCUCACCUAGGCAAUGAUAGGUAGGCGGCCUUAACGGGUGGUCGCCCACACUGGGAUUGAGAUACGGCCCAGACUCCUACGGGAGGCAGCAGUCGAGAAUAGUCUACAAUGGUCGGAAGACUGAUAGUGCGACGCCGCGUGAACGAUGAAUCCCUUCGGGGUGUAAAGUUCUUUUCUAUACGAGCAGUGCUAUAUAUAUGGAUAGUAUAUAUAGAGGGAUAGUAGUAUAGGAAUAAGCAACGGCUAACUCCGUGCCAGCAGCCGCGGUAAUAUCACG
RNAcentral lists this ribosomal RNA (510 nucleotides) under uncultured bacterium. RNAcentral's name for it is "bacterial SSU rRNA". It matches the Rfam family "Bacterial small subunit ribosomal RNA", at positions 28 to 527 of the family's 1533-position model. The record is from RNAcentral.